Molecule: unclassified non-coding RNA, 912 nt
Filed under: Hevea brasiliensis (rubber tree)
Lineage: Eukaryota; Viridiplantae; Streptophyta; Magnoliopsida; Malpighiales; Euphorbiaceae
Source: RNAcentral
GACUGAGAGAACAGUUGUAAGCAUUCCAAGAACAAGGGUACUUGUUGUUACUGCCUUUGAUUUGUUAUGGAGCCCAUUGCAGACAUAAUCUCGAGGCUCACUAGAGAGACCACUAUAGCAAACAUAAGCACAGUAAACAGAUAUCACAGAAGCUGGCAAUAGGCUUCCAUUUACCUUUGGGUGCAAAGCAAUAACAGCAAAUGCAAAAGCAAGAAUCAUGGUCAUAACAAUGAAGAACACGUUCAGUCCACAGUCAUGUCCAGAAGGAUUGAACCACAUAAAUAAAAUUCCUGAAAAAACAAAUGUUGCUAUGUAGCACGCCACAGAUACCACAAGUAGAGCAACAUACCACUUCUGCUCAUCUUUUGCAACCCAUGAAUCAUUCCACGAGUGUGUAGCAUCUAAUAAUAUUAUUACUUGGAUUAACAAAAAGAACCCUGCCCCAAAUUUCGAAAGAAAACCAUAAAUUGUUAUGACACCGUUCGGGAGGAAAAACAUGAGUGCAACAAGCAACACCCAGAUCACCAAUUUAGCAACCCAUCCACCAUGAUGCAAACAGUCGCGCCUAUCAUUUUGAUCCUUGAUACCAAUCAUUAUAAGUGCAAGCACUCCAAAAAACAAGAAAUUCCCCAAACUGACACGAAGAACAGCUUGUGCUUGAAACCAUUCCUUCGAUAAAUUGUCCGAAGUGUUUAUCCAUGAGAAAUUCUUGAGGAGAGGAGAAGCGACUUCUCUGAUAACCCAAGAGACGAUCAAAGAAACACCAAAUAGGCCACAAUAAGCAAGUCUAGCUGAGCUCCUGGUUACACCGGAGGCUACCGAUGUGCAGAGUCCGCAUGUCAAUGACGCACAGCACGAUGCCAAGCACGACAUCUCGCACUUCUCUCCUUCCGCGUGUGUUGCACUGCAGAG